RNAcentral lists this ribosomal RNA (253 nucleotides) under uncultured bacterium. RNAcentral describes it as "partial 16S ribosomal RNA". It matches the Rfam family "Bacterial small subunit ribosomal RNA", at positions 524 to 776 of the family's 1533-position model. The record is from RNAcentral.
UACGGGGGGAGCAAGCGUUGUUCGGAUUUACUGGGCGUAAAGGGCUCGUAGGUGGCCAACUAAGUCAUACGUGAAAUCCCUCAGCUUGACUGGGGAACUGCGUCUGAUACUGGAUGGCUUGAGUUUGGGAGAGGGAUGCGGAAUUCCAGGUGUAGCGGUGAAAUGCGUAGAUAUCUGGAGGAACACCGGUGGCGAAGGCGGCAUCCUGGACCAAUACUGACACUGAGGAGCGAAAGCCAGGGGAGCAAACGGG